RNAcentral lists this long non-coding RNA (615 nucleotides) under Marmota monax (woodchuck). The record is from RNAcentral. Lineage: Eukaryota; Metazoa; Chordata; Mammalia; Rodentia; Sciuridae.
CAUAUUUAAAUUAUCCCGAUUUUUAUUUUUUUAUGGAUUUUUAAAAAUCUGGCUUUUCUAGCUUUUUAAGAAUUGGUCUGCCAUAAAAUUUCUUUCUACUCAAAAGCUAUUUCUCGACCUACUCAGAAGUAGAUACUAAAUUUCUUGACCCUAACCUAGGCAUGGACAACUUGAUCCCUGGUUCUGUGACUCUUAAUCCCAUUAGCAAGUAUUCUGUGAAUCCUAAAGUACAAGAUGGUAGGUAGCUUAAAAAUGCAUGAACUUAGUCUUAGCCAAAAUUACUUUCAUAUCAUUCAUUUUUUCAUUUGCUUAUUUCACAGUACAAAAGUAUAGUUUUUACUUGAAUGACUUGCAAAUUUAAAAGUAGUUUCUAACUUUGGAUUCCACAGAAUUCUGAUGUAGAAUUUUACAGAACUCGGCAGCUUUUUUCCAUCAUGAAAUAUCAAAUUCAAAAUAUUUAAUACUGAUUAAGCAGUAGUCAGACAUCAUCCACAUUGAAAUUUUACAAUGUCCCAGUAAUGACCUUUAUACCAAUUUAUUACAGCUUAGAUCUUAAAUGUCCCCCAAAGGCCAGGUAUUGAAUGCUCGGUUGCUAGCUUUUGACACUGUUGGGAA